Salvia hispanica is the source of this 387-nucleotide non-coding RNA. NCBI's taxonomy places the organism in Eukaryota, Viridiplantae, Streptophyta, Magnoliopsida, Lamiales, Lamiaceae. The record is from RefSeq and is a predicted model, not a curated record.
CUUUAGACACCACAAAUUCACUCAAAAUCAAGGAGUGCAGAAGGAAAUGAGAGGAGCAAGAAGGCGAGGAGAGGCAGCGGCAAAGCGGAGGAACAGCCGCAUAAACCGAGGAUGAACCGAGUGAGGCUAUCUCUGCGAGUAAAGGCGGAGUGAGGAAAGAAAAUCAAUUUAAGGAGUUUGAAGCGAACGAGAUUGAGCAGUGAUGACGGCGGGCGGUGUUGAGCAUAGACGAUGAAGAUCCUUCGAUAGAAUAGUACUUGGAUGCGUCGUGUCUCCAUACACGAUGUCAUCUGCUCUUGACUCUUCCGCUGCAAUGUAAAAGUCGAGAUUUCAUUCUCUUGUACCAUGCACUCUGAUUUUUAUAUAUUCCAAGUUAUUUCAGUUCAA